UAACGAAUAUUGGGCAAUGGGCGAAAGCCUGACCCAGCAAUGCCGCGUGCAGGACGAAGUCCUUCGGGAUGUAAACUGCUGUCAGGGGUCCGCAAGCGAAGGGGUCCAACAGGCCCUGGCGUUGAGCAGCCCCAGAGGACGCCUCGACUAACUCUGUGCCAGCAGUCGCGGUCAGACAGAGGAGGCAAGCGUUGUUCGGAAUCACUGGGCUUAACGCGCGUGUAGGCGGCUUAGAAGGUGUCGUGUGACAUCCCGCGGCUCAACCGCGGAACUGCACGG
This 279-nucleotide ribosomal RNA is filed under the name uncultured prokaryote. RNAcentral describes it as "partial 16S ribosomal RNA". It matches the Rfam family "Bacterial small subunit ribosomal RNA", at positions 355 to 628 of the family's 1533-position model. The record is from RNAcentral.